ACUUAGCUUUCUUUAGAAG
Molecule: small nuclear RNA, 19 nt
Filed under: Arabidopsis thaliana (thale cress)
Lineage: Eukaryota; Viridiplantae; Streptophyta; Magnoliopsida; Brassicales; Brassicaceae
Description: snRNA_12292
Source: RNAcentral